GAAUGCGUCGGGCAAAGCUCGCCUUCUGGGUGUGGCUCGUCGGACGCUUCCUAUCUUUGGAUAAUGGCCCUCUUGCUUCACGGCUUGGGGAUCACCGUUUCCAAUCAUUUACUUUGAAAAAAUUAGAGUGUUCAAAGCAGGCGUAACUUGCCAUUGAAUAUUACAGCAUGGGAUAAUAGAAUAUGACAUUGGUCUUAUUUUGUUGGUUUCUAAGGCUGAUGUA
This 223-nucleotide ribosomal RNA is filed under the name uncultured fungus. RNAcentral's name for it is "partial small subunit ribosomal RNA". The stretch from base 104 to 223 matches the Rfam family "Eukaryotic small subunit ribosomal RNA", at positions 747 to 864 of the family's 1831-position model. The record is from RNAcentral. Lineage: Eukaryota; Fungi.